GUCCAGGGAUGGGAAUCGAACCCACAGUGUUCUGCUUACCGGGCAGAUGCCAUGUCCAUAGGCUACCCUGGA
Molecule: transfer RNA, 72 nt
Filed under: Cordylochernes scorpioides
Lineage: Eukaryota; Metazoa; Arthropoda; Arachnida; Pseudoscorpiones; Chernetidae
Description: tRNA-Thr
Source: RNAcentral